Non-coding RNA from Pseudonaja textilis, 78 nucleotides. The record is from RefSeq and is a predicted model, not a curated record. Lineage: Eukaryota; Metazoa; Chordata; Lepidosauria; Squamata; Elapidae.
UGUAGGAGAUGACCAAGCUGAGCCUGAGGGAGAGGUCAAACGCAUCAUCAGUCAUGAAUCCCUUUGUGAUCAAAAGAG